Molecule: unclassified non-coding RNA, 323 nt
Organism: Dipodomys ordii (Ord's kangaroo rat)
Lineage: Eukaryota; Metazoa; Chordata; Mammalia; Rodentia; Heteromyidae
Gene: 7SK
Rfam family: 7SK RNA
About the family: 7SK was discovered as an abundant small nuclear RNA in the mid-70s but a possible function has only recently been suggested. Two independent studies have found that 7SK RNA binds the CDK9/cyclin T complex (known as elongation factor P-TEFb).
Source: Ensembl
GGUAAGGGCCAUCUGACUGACACCUAUCACCUCCUUGGCCACCACGGCUGAUUUGACUUGUUUGGCUUGCUGGGUGGUCAUCCCUUCCUCCCUCAGAGCUCCAUAUGAAUCCCUCCUGAAGCUGUGAAGACAACCUUCCCCCAACAGAGGAAGACUAUUCUUUGGUCAAGAGUGCAUAAGAAACUACCGUCCCCUGCUAGAACCUCCAACAAGUUCUCAAGGUUCAAAGCAACAGAGCCAUCUGAUCAUAAUUAACUGUAAGUGGUGGGGCCUAGUGGAAAGUCGCUGUCAUAAGCCGGGCGCUGGUGGCUCACGCCUGUAAU